CGUUAAGGUGGGCACUCUAGGCUGACUGCCGGUGACAAACCGGAGGAAGGCGGGGAUGACGUCAAAUCAUCAUGCCCCUUAUGACCUGGGCUACACACGUACUACAAUGGCCGGUACAACGGGUUGCGAAGCCGCGAGGCGGAGCCAAUCCCAGCAAAGCCGGUCUCAGUUCGGAUUGCAGGCUGCAACUCGCCUGCAUGAAGUCGGAAUUGCUAGUAAUCGCGGAUCAGCAUGCCGCGGUGAAUACGUUCCCGGGUCUUGUACACACCGCCCGUCACACCACGAGAGUUUACAACACCCGAAGCCGGUGGGGUAACCGCAAGGAGCCAGCCGUCGAAGGUGGGGUAGAUGAUUGGGGUGAAGUCGUAACAAGGUAGCCGUAUCGGAAGGUGCGGCUGGAUCACCUCCUUUCUAAGGAG
RNAcentral lists this ribosomal RNA (419 nucleotides) under Cohnella pontilimi. RNAcentral describes it as "bacterial SSU rRNA". It matches the Rfam family "Bacterial small subunit ribosomal RNA", at positions 1124 to 1533 of the family's 1533-position model. Lineage: Bacteria; Bacillati; Bacillota; Bacilli; Caryophanales; Paenibacillaceae. The record is from RNAcentral.